This 253-nucleotide ribosomal RNA is filed under the name uncultured bacterium. RNAcentral describes it as "partial 16S ribosomal RNA". It matches the Rfam family "Bacterial small subunit ribosomal RNA", at positions 524 to 776 of the family's 1533-position model. The record is from RNAcentral.
GACGAACCGUACGAACGUUAUUCGGAAUCACUGGGCUUAAAGGGUGCGUAGGCGGCGCAGAAAGUUGGGUGUGAAAUCCCUCGGCUCAACCGAAGAACUGCGCCCAAAACUACUGUGCUCGAGGGAGACAGAGGUGAGCGGAACUUAGGGUGGAGCGGUGAAAUGCGUAGAUAUCAGGAGGAACACCUGUGGCGAAAGCGGCUCACUGGACCAUAACUGACGCUGAUGCACGAAAGCUAGGGGAGCAAACAGG